This is an RNA transcript of Solanum tuberosum (potato), 2543 nucleotides long. It is a transcript of the gene named multicystatin-like, with no coding region annotated. The record is from RefSeq and is a predicted model, not a curated record. NCBI's taxonomy places the organism in Eukaryota, Viridiplantae, Streptophyta, Magnoliopsida, Solanales, Solanaceae. The transcript is spliced from 9 exons.
UUCUCAUCACAAAAAUAUUCCUUCUUCUUAAUUAAGUUAUUAAUUAUUCGCAGUGAUGGCAAUCGUAGGAGGCCUUGUCGAUGUUCCAUUCGAAAACAAAGUCGAGUUUGAUGAUCUUGCUCGUUUUGCUGUCCAAGAUUACAAUCAGAAAAAUGAUUCUAGUUUGGAGUUUAAAAAGGUUUUGAACGUGAAGCAACAAAUAGUUGCUGGAAUAAUGUACUAUAUAACAUUUGAGGCAACUGAAGGUGGAAACAAGAAAGAAUAUGAAGCCAAGAUUUUGCUGAGGAAAUGGGAGGACUUGAAGAAAGUUGUAGGAUUCAAGCUUGUUGGUGAUGAUAGUACAAUGCCUGGGGGCAUUGUCAAUGUUCCAAACCCAAACAACACCAAGUUUCAAGAACUUGCUCGUUUUGCUAUUCAGGAUUAUAAUAAAAAACAGAAUGCUCAUUUGGAGUUUGUAGAAAAUUUGAAUGUUAAAGAGCAAGUUGUUGCUGGAAUCAUGUACUAUAUAACACUUGCGGCAACUGAUGAUGCUGGAAAGAAGAAAAUAUACGAAGCUAAGAUUUGGGUGAAAGAAUGGGAGGACUUCAAGAAAGUUGUAGAAUUCAAGCUUGUUGGUGAUGAUAUUGCAAAACUUGGGGGCAUUACUGAUGUUCCAUUCCCAAAUAACCCCGAGUUCCAAGAUCUUGCUCGUUUUGCUAUUCAAGUUUAUAAUAAGAAAGAGAAUGUUCAUUUGGAGUUUGUAGAAAAUUUGAACGUUAAACAACAAGUUGUUGCUGGAAUGAUGUACUAUAUAACACUUGCGGCAAUUGAUGCUGGAAAGAAGAAAAUAUAUGAAACUAAGAUUUGGGUGAAAGAAUGGGAGGACUUCAAGAAAGUUGUAGAAUUCAAGCUUGUUGGUGAUGAUAGUACAAUGCCUGGGGGCAUUGUCAAUGUUCCAAACCCAAACAACACCAAGUUAGUUCCAAGAUCUUGCUCGUUUUGCUGUUCAGGAUUAUAACAAUACACAGGUCAAUUAUAUAUAAUGACUUACUUUUAGUUUCUUAAUGAUGUACUAUAUAACACUUGCGGCAACUGAUGCCGGGAAUAAGAAAGAAUAUGAAGCCAAGAUUUGGGUGAAGGAAUGGGAGGACUUCAAGAAAGUUAUAGACUUCAAGCUUGUUGGUAAUGAUAGUGAGAAAAAACUUGGGGGCUUUACCGAAGUUCCAUUCCCAAACAGCCCCGAGUUUCAAGAUCUUACACGUUUUGCUGUUCACCAAUAUAAUAAGGACCAGAAUGCUCAUCUGGAGUUUGUAGAAAAUUUGAAUGUGAAAAAACAAGUUGUUGCUGGAAUGUUGUACUACAUAACAUUUGCGGCAACAGAUGGUGGAAAGAAAAAAAUAUAUGAAACUAAGAUUUGGGUUAAGGUAUGGGAGAACUUCAAGAAAGUUGUUGAAUUCAAGCUUGUUGGUGAUGAUAGUGCAAAGCCUGGGGGAAUUAUCAAUGUUCCAUUCCCAAACAGCCCCGAAUUCCAAGAUCUUGCUCGUUUUGCUGUUCAAGAUUAUAAUAAGAAAGAGAAAGCUCAUUUGGAGUUUGUAGAAAAUUUGAAUGUUAAGGAACAAGUUGUUGCUGGAAUGAUGUACUAUAUAACACUUGUGGCAACUGAUGAUGCUGGAAAGGAGAAAAUAUAUGAAGCUAAAAUUUGGGUUAAGGAAUGGGAGAACUUCAAGAAAGUCAUAGAAUUCAAGCUUUUUAUUGGUGAUGAUGUCCCAAUACUCGGGGGCAUUAUCAAUGUUCAAGGCAUAAACAGCCUUGUGUUCCAAGAUCUUGCUCGUUUUGCUGUUCAGGAUCAUAAUAAGAAAGAGAAGGCUCAUUUGGAGUUUGUAGAAGUUUUGAAUGUGAAGGAACAAGUUGUUGCGGGAAUGAUGUACUAUAUAACACUUGCGGCAACUGAUGCUGGAAAGAAGAAAAUAUAUGAAGCUAAGAUUUGGGUGAAAGAAUGGGAGGACUUCAAGAAAGUUGUAGAGUUCAAGCUUGUUGGUGAUGAUAGUGCAAAGCUUGGGGGCAUUAUCAUUGUUCCAUUCCCAAUCAGCUUUGAAAUCCAAGAUCUUGCUCGUUUUGCUGUUCAAGAUUAUAAUAAGAAAGAGAAUGCUCAUUUGGAGUUUGUAGAAGUUUUGAAUGUGAAAGAACAAGUUGUUGCUGGAAUGAUGUACUAUAUAACACUUGUUGCAACUGAUGAUGGAUAUAAGAAAAUAUACAAGACCAAGAUUUGGGUGAAGGAAUGGGAGAAUUUCAAGGAAGUUCAGGAAUUCAAGCAAAUUGUUUAUGCCACAAAAUGAAAUAAAACUACUCUUAUGCUGGUGUGAAGUAAAGCCAGUUGUUUGGUAUAAAGUUACUAUUAUGCUUGUGUGAAAUAAAGCCAGUUGUUUGGCAUGCAAUUACUGUUAUGUUUGUGAAAAAUAAAGUCAGAUCUAUGUAUCUGACAGUAUUUAAAUGUCUUGUUGUAAGUGUAUUUGAAUAAUUUAAAGUUUGUAAGAUUAAUAAAUGUGUGUUUAUGUGAUGAUAAA